GCGUGAGUGAUGAAGGCCUUAGGGUUGUAAAGCUCUUUUACCUGGGAAGAUAAUGACUGUACCGGGAGAAUAAGCCCCGGCUAACUCCGUGCCAGCAGCCGCGGUAAUACGGAGGGGGCUAGCGUUGUUCGGAAUUACUGGGCGUAAAGCGCACGUAGGCGGCCUGCCAAGUCAGAGGUGAAAGCCUGGGGCUCAACUCCAGAAUUGCCUUUGAGACUGGUAAGCUUGAACGUCGGAGAGGUGAGUGGAAUUCCGAGUGUAGAGGUGAAAUUCGU
Molecule: ribosomal RNA, 275 nt
Filed under: uncultured bacterium
Lineage: Bacteria
Description: partial 16S ribosomal RNA
Rfam family: Bacterial small subunit ribosomal RNA
Source: RNAcentral